RNAcentral lists this ribosomal RNA (744 nucleotides) under uncultured bacterium. RNAcentral describes it as "bacterial SSU rRNA". It matches the Rfam family "Bacterial small subunit ribosomal RNA", at positions 8 to 796 of the family's 1533-position model. The record is from RNAcentral.
AGAGUUUGAUCCUGGCUCAGAGCGAACGCUGGCGGCAGGCUUAACACAUGCAAGUCGAGCGGGCGUAGCAAUACGUCAGCGGCAGACGGGUGAGUAACGCGUGGGAACGUACCUUUUGGUUCGGAACAACACAGGGAAACUUGUGCUAAUACCGGAUAAGCCCUUACGGGGAAAGAUUUAUCGCCGAAAGAUCGGCCCGCGUCUGAUUAGCUAGUUGGUGUGGUAACGGCGCACCAAGGCGACGAUCAGUAGCUGGUCUGAGAGGAUGAUCAGCCACAUUGGGACUGAGACACGGCCCAAACUCCUACGGGAGGCAGCAGUGGGGAAUAUUGGACAAUGGGCGCAAGCCUGAUCCAGCCAUGCCGCGUGAGUGAUGAAGGCCCUAGGGUUGUAAAGCUCUUUUGUGCGGGAAGAUAAUGACGGUACCGCAAGAAUAAGCCCCGGCUAACUUCGUGCCAGCAGCCGCGGUAAUACGAAGGGGGCUAGCGUUGCUCGGAAUCACUGGGCGUAAAGGGUGCGUAGGCGGGUCUUUAAGUCAGGGGUGAAAUCCUGGAGCUCAACUCCAGAACUGCCUUUGAUACUGAGGAUCUUGAGUUCGGGAGAGGUGAGUGGAACUGCGAGUGUAGAGGUGAAAUUCGUAGAUAUUCGCAAGAACACCAGUGGCGAAGGCGGCUCACUGGCCCGAUACUGACGCUGAGGCACGAAAGCGUGGGGAGCAAACAGGAUUAGAUACCCUGGUAGUCC